Molecule: ribosomal RNA, 228 nt
Filed under: uncultured bacterium
Lineage: Bacteria
Description: partial 16S ribosomal RNA
Rfam family: Bacterial small subunit ribosomal RNA
Source: RNAcentral
CCAAAAAGACCGGUCUCAGUUCGGAUUGUAGGCUGCAACCCGCCUACAUGAAGUCGGAAUCGCUAGUAAUCGCGAGUCAGCAUAUCGCGGUGAAUACGUUCCCGGGUCUUGUACACACCGCCCGUCACACCACGGAAGUUGGCAACACCCGAAGCCGAUGGGCUAACCGCAAGGAGGCAGUCGUCUAAGGUGGGAUCGAUAACUGGGGUGAAGUCGUAACAAGGUAAC